This 582-nucleotide ribosomal RNA is filed under the name uncultured Rhizophagus. Its description in RNAcentral is "LSU rRNA". It matches the Rfam family "Eukaryotic large subunit ribosomal RNA", at positions 204 to 637 of the family's 3401-position model. The record is from RNAcentral. Lineage: Eukaryota; Fungi; Glomeromycota; Glomeromycetes; Glomerales; Glomeraceae.
CAUGGAGGGUGAGAAUCCCGUCCGGUUGAUCAUUUGCGUUUUACGAUACGCUUUCUAAGAGUCAAGUUGUUUGGGAUUGCAGCUUAAAAUGGGAGGUAAAUUUCUCCUAAGGCUAAAUAACGGCGAGAGACCGAUAGCGAACAAGUACCGUGAGGGAAAGAUGAAAAGAACUUUGAAAAGAGAGUUAAACAGUACGUGAAAUUGUUGAAAGGGAAACGAUUGAAGCCAGUCGUACCUUCGGGUAAUCAGCCUUUCGGGUGCGAUUCUGUGGAGUGUGAGGAGCUUAAACACCUUCAUGUUUUGCAUAUUCGUACUCUUGGGUGUACUUGCCCGUGUGGUUGGUUAACAUCAAUUUUGGUGGUCAUAAAAUGACUGGAGGAAUGUAGCUUCGAUCUUGUAUUGAAGUGUUAUAGCCUUCGGUAGAUGUGAUGAUCGAGAUUGAGGAUUGCAACGGAUACCCUUCGGGGCUACCUGUCUGGUCUCUGAUCGUUGCUCUGGUGCCGAAAGCUUGCUUACGGUUAUCAAAGUCGAUGGUCAAUAGGUUAGAACGGGUUAAAUUCGUUAAGGAUGUUGACGUAAUGG